GAAACAAUAAGAUUAAAAGUCCUCAAUAAAUAUGGUGCCAAUAAUGAAGAAAACUUUUUGUAGAAAUCAUUUGGGAUACCAUCUGGGCCAGGAGAUUUAAAUGAUUUAAGAGAUGAUAUGCAAGAUAUUAUUUCAUUUGCCAAAAAAUCAGAUGCCAAUUCCUCCAAUCUAUCUGCAGGGGGGGAAGGCAAUGAAAUAGACGAAAGGAAAGAAGAAAUUAUGUCCGAAGUUGAUUGAGCAUUUCUCUUUAAUAGUGAGGCUUAUAGGGGCAUGAUCUGACCACUCAAUUGGCAUGAUACUGGCAUCCUGAAUUAAGUGACACAGGAAUACUGGGGUAUACAGUUUCAGGAGUCGAUGCUCUACAUGGUUAUCUACUUGGUGAUGACCAUCCUAGGUGAAUGCCUAAAGGGAGGAGUUGGUGUCGCUCACAUUGAGUAUAAAUUCAUGGUAAUUCAUGCUGACCCCUCUGAAAAGUGCUAUGUCACCUGCCAGAGGAUCCUUUAUAUUAUUGCAUAGAUCAUCUGCAUUGGAACAGCAAUAAAUGCAGUAUAUUCGGACUGAAGUGCGUUGGGAAGAAACCGAAUUUUGUAAUUGGCCACCUGUUCCAUAGCCCCGGGAGAAGUAUUGUGUAGUGAGUUGCGAGCAGUGGUUACUGUGGCAGCCUUCAUUGUGCCUUAGCAACUGUAUGAUCCAGCAAUGUGUUCAAGAUUGAUUCUGAAUAACAGGAACCAACAGUACAGUAUAAUGACAUGGACACAAUACUGCACAUUAACGUGACAUGCAACACUUGGCUAUUCUGGAAAUGUAGUUCUCUAUGUUCGCUAUGUCAGGGGAGGGUUAAUGCAUUUAAAUAACAUCUUAAUCCUUUUCCUAGGGGAACAUAGAAGAAGAAAUGCUUUAACUACACAAUAUAUUUUUAUUAGAGAA
This is a long non-coding RNA of Hyla sarda, 927 nucleotides long. RefSeq lists it as uncharacterized. NCBI's taxonomy places the organism in Eukaryota, Metazoa, Chordata, Amphibia, Anura, Hylidae. The transcript has 5 exons. The record is from RefSeq and is a predicted model, not a curated record.